ACAAUGGCACUCUUCAAGUUCUUGACGAGAUGAGGAACGUCAGGCAUGAAAUGGAGGCGCUGGCUUGGCUCAACAGGAUGCUGGAUCCAUGGCUUGUCAUAGGUCACCCCAAAGGACUUCCACAUUGCUCUAUUGGGGCUCCCCAUGUCUGUGGUGAUGUUCAGUACAUGAAGCCCUACAGAUGCCGCUGCUUCAACAAUGUUGAUUAUGAUGGGCCGGUAAACUGCUCCAUUGGUGGAAUUGCCACUAUAGUGGUAAGCCACAACUUGUUUCCACCGUGUUGUAGCUCCAGCCAGCAUAAACACCAGUGCAUGUGUCGCUUGUCCUUUGUGCUCAGGCAGUGUGACAUUGCCAAAUAGCCUCCCCGUUCCCAAAUGGAGCUCCACGCCUGGAGUAAUGGACAUCUCAUCUAAGCGUCCGGAUGUUGGGCAGCGGAAUAUGCAUUCGCUGGAGGGUUUUGUAACCAGUGGUGCCAGCAGUAAAUUUAACCUUUGCCUUAUUAGGUCCUCCACAGUCGCCCCAUCAGUCCCUGGCGGUCUGGUCCCUGGCGGUCUGGUCCCUGGAGCAGCUGGCCCUGGCGCAGAUGGUCCUGGCAAAGUUAUAACUUCACUGUUGACCCCUGACUGACUGGCCCUCGGCACACACAUCCCUGGAUCACCUGCCCCUGGAUCACCUGCCACUGAAUCACCUGCCACUGACAAUGUGGCCUCUUGAUUUCUCUCUCUGUCUCCUGGCAUGUCCCUUUCAAUGCUCUUCAAAUCCACCUCAAUUUCUCCCUCAAUCUCUGUAAAAAUUACAAGGUAAUGUUGCUGUUAUAUGUAUUUUGCCUUUGCAUUUGC
Molecule: long non-coding RNA, 839 nt
Organism: Gadus morhua (Atlantic cod)
Lineage: Eukaryota; Metazoa; Chordata; Actinopteri; Gadiformes; Gadidae
Exons: 3
Source: RefSeq, a predicted model, not a curated record